AAAGUCGGCCGGGAAAAUUUAGCAAGCAGUACAGGAGAAACAAACGUUUGCUUGGCAUGUUCAAGUGAUAAAUUCAAUUUUCCACUUGAGCGCCACAACGAGCCCCAUUCCGCAAUGUGUGACUAAUGGCGUUUACUGGUGGCCCGGUCAUCGUCAUCCUAUUUCUACUCUGCGGCGGCGGCGGCGGCAAUCAAACAGAAAUCAUAAAGGCGUGUUGUUCAAACAUAAACAUAGGGCUCGCCUCCUGACUUUGGAUCCCAUCGAACAAAGGCCAGCCCAUCCCGGACCUUCGGCUGGAGGUGUUCACUGGAGCAUUGACUCGGACUUGGGAUGGAUGCAUUGUGCGGGACAGGCCGAAGGGUGAUGUCCUGGCGAUUGCGUGAUUCACCAGACACAAUACAAUAUUAAUCGGUUGGGGAUUAGAUGGAAUUACCCAGACAAGUGACUAGACUUGAUUACAACAGCAGGUGCUUGUGUAAUCGCACUCUUUUCAUCAGCUAAAGUUAGAAUUAAAUGUGUAUUGUUACUUUC
This is a non-coding RNA of Drosophila melanogaster (fruit fly), 531 nucleotides long. The record is from Ensembl. Lineage: Eukaryota; Metazoa; Arthropoda; Insecta; Diptera; Drosophilidae.